This 562-nucleotide ribosomal RNA is filed under the name Papiliotrema laurentii. Its description in RNAcentral is "eukaryotic LSU rRNA". It matches the Rfam family "Eukaryotic large subunit ribosomal RNA", at positions 106 to 657 of the family's 3401-position model. Lineage: Eukaryota; Fungi; Basidiomycota; Tremellomycetes; Tremellales; Rhynchogastremaceae. The record is from RNAcentral.
AGCUCAAAUUUGAAAUCUGGCGUCCUCAGGGCGUCCGAGUUGUAAUCUAUAGAGGCGUUUUCCGUGCCGGACCGUGUCCAAGUUCCUUGGAACAGGAUAUCAAAGAGGGUGACAAUCCCGUACUUGACACGACGACCGGUGCUCUGUGAUACGUCUUCUACGAGUCGAGUUGUUUGGGAAUGCAGCUCAAAAUGGGUGGUGAGUUCCAUCUAAAGCUAAAUAUUGGCGAGAGACCGAUAGCGAACAAGUACCGUGAGGGAAAGAUGAAAAGCACUUUGGAAAGAGAGUUAAACAGUACGUGAAAUUGUUGAAAGGGAAACGAUUGAAGUCAGUCGUGACCGAGAGGCUCAGCCGGUUCUGCCGGUGUAUUCCCCUCGGUCGGGUCAACAUCAGUUUUGUCCGGUGGAUAAGGGCGGUAGGAAGGUGGCACCCUCGGGUGUGUUAUAGCCUGCCGUCGCAUACAUCGGGUGAGACUGAGGAACGCAGCUCGCCUUUAUGGCCGGGGUUCGCCCACGUCCGAGCUUAGGAUGUUGACAUAAUGGCUUUAAACGACCCGUCUUGA